AACAUCGCGCACCUGCGGGAACCUGCGGAAGGAUCAUUGGAGAGGGGUAAUUUUUUUGUGGGGUGUGGAUGUUUGGGAGGGGAUUGAGGGUUGAUGGCAGAAGGAGGUACUAUGUUGUACUUCACCGUUGUAACCUUCGUCGCCUGCUAUCAACCCCCCUCCCAUAAAAAAGCUUCAAUACAAUACUGAACAUCAAUCAAUCACUUACAACUUUCAGCAAUGGAUCUCAGAUCGGAAGAG
Molecule: unclassified non-coding RNA, 240 nt
Filed under: soil metagenome
Description: partial contains 5.8S ribosomal RNA, internal transcribed spacer 2, and large subunit ribosomal RNA
Source: RNAcentral